This 463-nucleotide ribosomal RNA is filed under the name uncultured bacterium. RNAcentral's name for it is "bacterial SSU rRNA". It matches the Rfam family "Bacterial small subunit ribosomal RNA", at positions 1 to 448 of the family's 1533-position model. The record is from RNAcentral.
CCCUUAGAGUUUGAUCCUGGCUCAGGAUGAACGCUGGCGGCGUGCUUAACACAUGCAAGUCGAGCGAAGCGCUUUGGAAAGAUUCUUCGGAUGAUUUCCUUUGUGACUGAGCGGCGGACGGGUGAGUAACGCGUGGGUAACCUGCCUCAUACAGGGGGAUAACAGCUAGAAAUGACUGCUAAUACCGCAUAAGACCACGGUACCGCAUGGUACAGUGGUAAAAACUCCGGUGGUAUGAGAUGGACCCGCGUCUGAUUAGGUAGUUGGUGGGGUAACGGCCUACCAAGCCGACGAUCAGUAGCCGACCUGAGAGGGUGACCGGCCACAUUGGGACUGAGACACGGCCCAGACUCCUACGGGAGGCAGCAGUGGGGAAUAUUGCACAAUGGAGGAAACUCUGAUGCAGCGACGCCGCGUGAAGGAUGAAGUAUUUCGGUAUGUAAACUUCUAUCAGCAGGGAAGA